This 252-nucleotide ribosomal RNA is filed under the name uncultured bacterium. RNAcentral describes it as "partial 16S ribosomal RNA". It matches the Rfam family "Bacterial small subunit ribosomal RNA", at positions 524 to 775 of the family's 1533-position model. The record is from RNAcentral.
UACGUAGGGUGCGAGCGUUGUCCGGAGUUACUGGGCGUAAAGGGUGCGUAGGCGGCUGCGCGCGUGGAGGGUGAAAUCUCUCGGCUUACCCGGGAGGGGGCUUUCCAGACGGCGUGGCUUGAGGGACGGAGAGGGGCGUGGAAUUCCGGGUGGAGCGGUGAAAUGCGUAGAGAUCCGGAGGAACACCAGUGGCGAAGGCGAGUCCCUGGACGAUACCUGACACUGAGGCACGAAAGCCAAGGGAGCAACAGG